AGGGCAGAGGAGAGGGAUGUCUCCUGGUGCUCCGGUCACUGACAUCUGGACUUUCCCAGCAAGCCUUUAAGAUGCCAGAGUCCUCAAGGGACGCCAGAUGGCAACCAAGUUCUUCAUCAGGGCCGGUCCUGAAACGGGAGCAGAAAGCACAAAAUGCAUUACAG
This is a long non-coding RNA of Aethalodelphis obliquidens (Pacific white-sided dolphin), 164 nucleotides long. RefSeq lists it as uncharacterized. NCBI's taxonomy places the organism in Eukaryota, Metazoa, Chordata, Mammalia, Artiodactyla, Delphinidae. The transcript is spliced from 3 exons. The record is from RefSeq and is a predicted model, not a curated record.